RNAcentral lists this unclassified non-coding RNA (716 nucleotides) under Hevea brasiliensis (rubber tree). Lineage: Eukaryota; Viridiplantae; Streptophyta; Magnoliopsida; Malpighiales; Euphorbiaceae. The record is from RNAcentral.
AAAAAAUGGCGAGUGGAAGAGCAGUAGAAGCCCUUCGAGCUUACAGAUCAGUGUUGAAGGCCACUCAUAAAGCCUUCGCCGGAGAUACUUUCAUGCUCCAACAAUCCGCCGCCGAGGUCAGAAAGAAAUUCGAGGAGAAUCGCCACGUCUCAUCGGAGGCUGAUAUUCAGAGGCUAUUGGAGGAUGCAACUGAGGCCUCUUCGUUCAUAUCUACUAUGAUUAUCCAAGCCAAAGCUACACCUUCCGGUGCUUUUGUGGUAAAGCCUGAGAAAGAACAUGCUGGAGCAACGCUCGAGAUUCCUUCUGAAGAGAUUCUUAAGAAGUCAGCUUAAGCAUAUUCAAGGAAGCUCAGAGCAUUUAGACUGCUGUGUUAGCACUUUAAUCUUUCAUAAACUGUGAGUUUUUCUUGUGAGUUUCUCCACUUGGAAUUUUCUCAGAGGUUCUGCUUUCUCCAAGGUCAUCGCGUUUCAGUCUUUCCUGUUUUUGUUACAUUUAGGCCAUAAUUAGUGGAUACUGCAUCCAUCUAUCUACAUCUUUCUCCUUUGUGUAGCUACAAUCACCUUACAAAGCAAGCAGGUGCAGCUUUGCUUAAACAUGGCUAUUGUGAUAAAUGAUUAAAAGGUUAGUUGGACCAAAUGUGCCACUAAAUAGAGUUUAAAUUUUAUUUAUUGACGGUGUAAAAUAUUUGCACAAGUGUAAUUUUCCUUGCUCCAAUA